Molecule: ribosomal RNA, 400 nt
Filed under: uncultured archaeon
Lineage: Archaea
Description: bacterial SSU rRNA
Rfam family: Archaeal small subunit ribosomal RNA
Source: RNAcentral
GGUUGAUCCUGCCGGAGAUCACUGCUAUUGGAAUCCGGCUAAGGCAUGCGAGUCGAGAGGGUUCGGCCCUCGGCGGACGGCUCAGUAACACGUGGAUAAUCUGCCCUUAGGUGGGGGAUAAUCUCGAGAAAUUGAGCAUAAUACCCCAUAGUUCUAGAUUGCUGGAAUGCAUUUAGGAUUAAAGCUCCGGCGCCUAAGGAUGAGUCUGCGGCCUAUCAGGUUGUAGUGAGUGUAACGGACUCACUAGCCGACGACGGGUACGGGUCCUGGAAGGGAGUGCCCGGAGAUGGACUCUGAGACACGAGUCCAGGCCCUACGGGGCGCAGCAGCUACGAAAACUUCGCAAUGCGGGAAACCGCGACGAGGGGAUUCCAAGUGCUAAUACUUUGUAUUAGCUGUU